Non-coding RNA from Vigna umbellata (rice bean), 1673 nucleotides. NCBI's taxonomy places the organism in Eukaryota, Viridiplantae, Streptophyta, Magnoliopsida, Fabales, Fabaceae. The record is from RefSeq and is a predicted model, not a curated record.
CGUUCAUAUUUUGUGUUUCCUGAAUACUAUUACUGUUACAUUGGUGCUCUAGUGCGGCGAACAUGGCAGAGAAAACAUGGCUUAUGGGAGAUGGUGAAAGAGGAUAGAGAAGCAACUAGAACACACUUCGAUAUCGGAAAAUACGGUGGAUGCGUUGCUAAAGCAGAACUGGGAGGCUGGAAGAAACCUCCAUCGAAAUGGCCAAGCAUCUAUCUCCGCUGGCGACAAUUCGAACCACCCACCAUUUCAGGUGAGAAAUGUGAAGCUGGAUUUUCAUCGCUUUGACGGAUCUGAAGCUCAAUCGGCCAAGCUAUAUGAAGAAAAAUAUACUCCAAAAAUUAAGUUCCUGCUCCCAAAGCUCCAAAAGAUUUUUAGGGUUAGGUUCCAUUUUUUUCGACCCACAUAUUAGGAAGCUUUUCAAAAGCUCCUGCUCCCAAAGCUCCCAUGGAGUGAAUUGGGAUAGGAGUAGGGUUGGGUUAACUCCCGUGCCCCAAAUGAAAAAAAUUCUUUCUCGACAGCAGCACUCUACAAGCGGAUGACACCAAGCUGUGUUUCAAGACUAAUCUUUCUUUGAUUUCUUUGUGCUUACACUUUCAUUAUUUCUUCAUAAUUAACCUUUCUUCUUCUGUUUCAGAUACUCAGAUCAGACCCAGUUGAGACGGAAGAAGCUGUGUUGCGUUUGCAUCCAUUUUCAGUCCCCACUUCAACUUCUCCACCUGGAGAGGCCUAAAGCAGAUAUGUUGUAAUAAGUUCCAGUCCUGAAGUAGAAUCAACAGAGACAGAAAAUGCCACGAACCAUAACAGAGUUCAAUAGUAACUAAAUCCCAAAUACUGAGCAGCCAAGACCUCUUGAGUCUGCAGAAACAAUUCAUCCAAAGGGAUGCAACAACCAACAGACUGGAGUUAAAUUUACAAAAGGCACAACAGCACAUGAAGAGGCAGAUUAAAAAAGAAAGCUGAUGCAGUUAGAGAUUGGUGAUAUGGUACUCGUAUAACUUCAGCCCCAUGGACAACAUUUCAUAUUGUUAAGGAAAAAGCAGAAACUCAGUCUUCGCUAUUUUGGACCUUUUCCUAUAAUUGAGUUGACUGGGGAAGUAGCUUAUAAACUUCUCUUGCCUUCGUCUGCAAAAAUUCACCAAGUCUUUCAUCGUUCACAGCUCAAAUUGUGUAAGGGUGAUCAUGCUCAGCCAUAUGUACCAUUUCCCAUUACAAAUUCAGAUACUGGAUCGGUGUUACAGCCAGAAGCCAUAUUACAAACAAGAGUUCAGGAAUUAGCAAGUGCAAUAACAUUUAAUCAAGUGGGAAGGUUUGGAAGAUAGUCAAGCAACUUGGGAGGAUGUCACUGCCAUAAUGCAGGUUUUUCCAAAAUUCAACCUUGAUGACAAGGUUUCUUUUAAAGGAGAAGUAAUGUAACAAAUGUAGCUGCAAAGAGGUUGAUUCAAGAGAAUAAUGGGACCAAAGAAAAGGGACACGUGACAAGCAAUUAAACAAAAAGGUGCAGCGAUAUGCCUAAAAUAACCAAUUGUAAGCUGGCUGAAUUUGAGUGGUCCAGACAUUAGAAUAUGAAGGUAGUUAGAGGAGAAAGAAAGGGGGAUGGUUGUAAUAUUUUCUUUUCUGACUGAGAAUUUUGUCUCUUAUAUUCCUUUCUUAAUACCAUUACGAGUAAUUAUUCA